GAAGGGUUUGGCCUGAAGCAUAGCAGGCCCCUUCAAAGCAAGGCCACAGUGGGAGAAUAAAAUAGGAGACCCUUCGGAAGCUCCAAAGAAUUCCCAGAAGCAAAGCAAGACUGCUUCCCAUAGGCCUAAUAGCUAUGUGCCUGUCUUUAAUAUUUGAGGACACAGAUGCAUUUGGAAACUAGAACAUUGCAUUCUGAGAGCCAGCAAUCCAUACCUUACCUUGAGAUAAUUUAUGGAGAAAGCAACAACAUUGUCAGAAGCCUAUAAGUCAUAGGAAAUUUCUACUGUCUUCUAAAACCUGAAGAUGCAAUUAUCUAGCUGUAUGUUAUCAAAGGCUAUGCUCAUCACAGCUGCAGUAAAUAAUUUCUCUUUC
Molecule: long non-coding RNA, 373 nt
Organism: Hemicordylus capensis (graceful crag lizard)
Lineage: Eukaryota; Metazoa; Chordata; Lepidosauria; Squamata; Cordylidae
Exons: 2
Source: RefSeq, a predicted model, not a curated record